UGGGGAAUUUUGGACAAUGGGCGAAAGCCUGAUCCAGCCAUGCCGCGUGAGUGAAGAAGGCCUUCGGGUUGUAAAGCCCUUUUGUUGGGGAAGAAAUCUUGCAGGUGAAUAUCCUGCGCGGAUGACGGUACCCAAAGAAUAAGCACCGGCUAACUUCGUGCCAGCAGCCGCGGUAAUACGAAGGGUGCAAGCGUUACUCGGAAUUACUGGGCGUAAAGCGUGCGUAGGCGGUUCGUUAAGUCCGUUGUGAAAGCCCUGGGCUCAACCUGGGAAUUGCAGUGGAUACUGGCGAGCUAGAGUACGGUAGAGGAUGGUGGAAUUCCCUGUGUAGCGGUGAAAUGCGUAGAGAUCGGGAGGAACACCCGUGGCGAAGGCGGCCAUCUGGACCAGUACUGACGCUGAGGCACGAAAGCGUGGGGAGCAAACA
Molecule: ribosomal RNA, 427 nt
Filed under: uncultured bacterium
Lineage: Bacteria
Description: bacterial SSU rRNA
Rfam family: Bacterial small subunit ribosomal RNA
Source: RNAcentral